This 440-nucleotide ribosomal RNA is filed under the name uncultured bacterium. Its description in RNAcentral is "partial 16S ribosomal RNA". It matches the Rfam family "Bacterial small subunit ribosomal RNA", at positions 338 to 795 of the family's 1533-position model. The record is from RNAcentral.
CCUACGGGAGGCAGCAGUCGGGAAUAUUGCUCAAUGGGGGAAACCCUGAAGCAGCAACGCCGCGUGGCGGAUUAAGGUUUUCGGAUUGUAAACUCCUUUUGUUAGAGAAGAUAAUGACGGUAUCUAACGAAUAAGCACCGGCUAACUCCGUGCCAGCAGCCGCGGUAAUACGGAGGGUGCAAGCGUUACUCGGAAUCACUGGGCGUAAAGAGCGCGUAGGCGGGAUAGCAAGUCAGAUGUGAAAUCCUUUGGCUUAACCAUAGAACUGCAUUUGAAACUGUUAUUCUAGAGUAUGGGAGAGGUAGGUGGAAUUCUUGGUGUAGGGGUAAAAUCCGUAGAGAUCAAGAGGAAUACUUAUUGCGAAGGCGACCUGCUAGAACAUAACUGACGCUGAUGCGCGAAAGCGUGGGGAGCAAACAGGAUUAGAUACCCCGGUAGUC